Long non-coding RNA from Orcinus orca (killer whale), 2893 nucleotides. RefSeq lists it as uncharacterized. The transcript has 2 exons. Lineage: Eukaryota; Metazoa; Chordata; Mammalia; Artiodactyla; Delphinidae. The record is from RefSeq and is a predicted model, not a curated record.
CAACUGAUCAUAAAGGUAUCUGGCCUCAGAUAUGCUGCAGGCUUGGAACGUUACCUGUUUAAGAAUCCCAAGUUAUUAAACAACAACACAAAAUCAGUACCAUCCUCCACAAGGAGCCAAGUCUGAGAAGGAAGGUGGUUGGUCAUGGCAUGUGAUGGUCAUUCCGUUGAUGACAACAUUGAACACAGGAGUUUUAAGAGCUGUCUCGGAUGAAUUUUGCUAGAAAAUGGCUUUAAUCAUGUUCACAUCUACUAUAAAUAAGAACUAGAUUAACAAUGAAGUUCAGCCAGGCGUUUCCUCUUCCACUGACUUAUUUCCUUCUACAGCUGCCCAUCCACAUCUGUGGGCUUGUAUACAUUUUGGUACAAAAGGGGGAUCUGGAGAUGCGAAGGACAGGUUUCAGAGUUCACUGGUGGCACAGUGGGGGAUAGCUCGGAAGGGGGCAGGACUGGAGGAAGGAAGAGAGGGCAGUUAAAACACUGCAACUGUCCAGGAAAAAACUGAGGAAGUCUGGUGGGAAGAGGCACAGCAGGGCCAAAGCAGGCCUGGUGACCAGUGGGCACAGCGGAGUGAGGAGUGACCUGGGUUUUGGCCUUGGUGCUCCUCGGACAGAUGGGAAGCAGCGGCGCCAAGACACAAUGGGCUUAUGAGGCCAAGGAAGAGCGGAACAGCCCUGUAAGCGGCUUGGUCUCCAGGGCUGGGGCCAGGAAGAAAAAUCCGAGCUGGAGAAGUAUUUGGGGAGUAGGCCCAGAUGAUGUACUAAGAAGGGCAGAUUGCCCAGGAAGCCCGCACAAGACGGGUAAGUAGGACUUAAGAGUUAGGCAGAGAAGGAGAUCACGUAAUUGAUUAGUGCAAAUCCUCUUAAAGCAAUUACCCAAAGAAACCAAAAAAAAAAAAAAAAAAAGUGCUGCCCUCUGCAGGGCUGGGGCAGCGGAAGGGGCAGGGAACGCAAUUGUGGUUGUGUUGGCACAUUUGUAAUAACUGCAAACUGGGAACAGUUCUCAUGUUCUGUUGUUAUUUAAUAAUGACAGUUUGGAUUUUGUGUUGGUGCAGUAAAUAAUUUAAGUGCUUAAUAGUUGAACUAGAAGCUGAGUGAAUGUUUACUAUUCUAAUCGCAACCUGUUAGUUCCAGUAGUUUUAGCCAGGUCUCAACUUUGCUUUUUUUUGUUUUGUUUUGGCUUUUGUUUAAAUGGCAGAGGACUUCUGUUGGAGACUCAAGGGUCUAACCGCUGAAUUCAUGGCAUUUCACGUCAGUGUGGUGACUGACUACUACAGAAAACGAUGAUUCAGACCAUUUACUGUGUCCUGACUUUCCUACCAUUUCUAUGUGAAUUAUUAAGUCAGCGCUAUAUUUUAAUUAAAACAUAAUGAUAGGUACCCAGCCAUUACAAAUUAAUUCAACACACGGAGAAGAGCUGUGUCACAGGUGUAAAGGAGCAAGAAUGUCAAAGGUGAAAACAGAAAUUGAGAAGAACUGACAGGUCACUAAUAACCCAAACCAGGGCAGUUUCUGCCAAGAGGUGGGAAUGCAGAAAUCAGCUUGUCUGUGGGUAAGAGUUAAAUGAGAAGUGGGGGAGAUGGCGAGCAGAGUAUUCACAGGCUUAUCUGCUGUGACCCCACCCCUAAAGUGUAAGCCCUAGGAGGGCAGGGGUCUGCCUUGCGGUUCUCUAUCCCCAGUGUGUAGAACAGGGUCUGACACCCACUUAGUCCUUAAUAUUUAUUAAGUGAGUAGAGUAUCUUGAAGGAAAGAGGGUGCUAAAAAGGAGAACACAGGAGCAAAGAUAAGUUUUAUUUUUAUAAAAUGGUGGGAUACUUGAAAACCUGACCCUAUAGCCCAAACUUAUAUGGAUUGAGAUCAGGAAUACCUAAAUGUUCCCCCAAGUGGAAGCCCUGCUGAAUGCUUUUGUACAUACAUCUCUUAGUUUAUUUAGGUCCUUUUUUGAGUUACUCUUAGCUAUUUUAGAGUCUGUUAUUUUUGUUUUUAAGAAGAUCCUAUGAUAAGCAUUUUUCCUUUUCAGGUUUUUGAUUGGCUUCUCUUAGAUGGCCUAGUAUAUACUAGACAAUUCACAGGCAAAUUCUGAAAAAGUCAACCCUAGAAAAAUAUGCUUAAGAAAACUGGCAAUUGGAAUUCAAUAGCCGAGUUAGAACAGUGAUACGACUUAGUUAUUCUAAGUAUAUUUAGUAACUAGCUUCUUUACCCCAGGGCUGAUUGAGCCAUUGAGACAUCACUGUGGUAAAGGCUUUAAUGGGGGAAGAAAAAAAAGAGUUCUUAACACCUUAAAAAGAUAUGAAUAUAUGAACGGUUUUGGAUUCUGGUAUCCUUUUAAAGUAUCAUAUAAAGAAAAGAAGCAAUGUCACUAGGAAACUGAUGAGGGAAAAAAAAAGAGAAAGUAUGAAAAAUUGAUGUUAGAAACCUAAAUAUCUAAAAUUUGUCCAGAACCCAGUGUCGAAGCCAUAGGAUUUUCUUGGGGGGGCGGGGGGAAGCCUAUCACAAUAUGCAUGAACUUAUUAAAUGAUUCCUGCAAAGUCCCCCACCAAGAGUCAAGAAUUUGAAUAUAGUUGAAGUACUUUUUGUUCUGUACAGUAAGAUGCUCACUAACCUUAAAAAACAAACAAACAAAAACUUUGAAACCAUUUUUUUUUUGCCUUAUUGUAAUAAGUAGUUUCUAGUGUUCCACUUAAGAGAUAAAGCAGAGAUUUCUGUGGUGAUUGAUGGAAUUUGUCUCAUUUACCAUAUACUUACAUUAUCUGUGCUAAAGACUUUUAAGUGGAGUAUUGAAAGUGGGGUGGCUGGACACACCACUGAGAAAAAGAAAACAACCUUAAACCCAUGACAAAGCUUAAACUGGAUGGAAAACUGUAUCUACAAGCAAUAAAAAUGUAAACUACCUAC